GAUUUGAUUGUUUGUUUUCAAUAUGAAAAGAUAUUUUCACUUUUUUCCUAAAACCUACUUCCACUUUUUUUUGAGAAGUGGUAACGCUGAUUGCAAUGUUCGGAUUCUUUACAUAUCAUAAAAACUUCGAUUCGCGAUCCUCAGCCUGGUUUGCUUAGAAACAAAGUUAUUUCCAACAACAGCGCACAGUGUUCGGGGUAAGUGAUUUUUUUUUGAAAGCAUUGUUGUUUUUUCGAGAAACAGUUUUCCAGUUGAAUUCCAUUGUUCAUAGUGUCAACAAGUGAGUAAAGCUUAAAAUUAUUAAAAAGAGUUUAGAAAAUAAAAUAUAAGUGUAAAAAAGUGAAUAUUUUGGUAAAUUGGUAGAAUUUGUGUUUAAAUGGACAAGGAAAAUAUUCAGGCUUCCGGAUCUAAACAGUCGGCAAUGGACUCCAUUGAAUUUUCACCCACAAAGCAGGCAAGGCGGAUUUUUAAGAAAACGAAUCAACAAGAUAUGAUAGACGAAAUGAGAGCGGACAUUAAACGUUUGUGUGUCACCACGGAGCAGCUGAAAAAUGGGAUCUGCACAUUGGCAUAAUUUUUUUCAAUAAAAUCAUAAAAAUUUACAUGACU
Molecule: long non-coding RNA, 609 nt
Organism: Eupeodes corollae
Lineage: Eukaryota; Metazoa; Arthropoda; Insecta; Diptera; Syrphidae
Exons: 3
Source: RefSeq, a predicted model, not a curated record